Molecule: long non-coding RNA, 190 nt
Filed under: Chinchilla lanigera (long-tailed chinchilla)
Lineage: Eukaryota; Metazoa; Chordata; Mammalia; Rodentia; Chinchillidae
Description: lncRNA (ENSCLAG00000027862.1)
Source: RNAcentral
AGCAGCCUGAACUGAUUCUACUCUCGCCCUAGUGACCGGAGCAGGAGAGGGAGCCUGGGCCAUCGGCAUCCAUCCACAGAAGGACAGUGAUCGGGGAUGUAGCUCAGCAGGAAAGGUUUUCACCAAGGUCCCGUAUGGCCCUUAGCUGCUGGUCUCUAUGACACGAGUGUACCAUGUGUUAGGAAUCUCA